Molecule: transfer RNA, 78 nt
Filed under: Janibacter limosus
Lineage: Bacteria; Bacillati; Actinomycetota; Actinomycetes; Micrococcales; Intrasporangiaceae
Description: tRNA-Thr
Rfam family: tRNA
About the family: Transfer RNA (tRNA) molecules are approximately 80 nucleotides in length. Their secondary structure includes four short double-helical elements and three loops (D, anti-codon, and T loops).
Source: RNAcentral
GCCGCCUUAGCUCAGUCGGCUAGAGCGUCUCACUCGUAAUGAGAAGGUCGUCGGUUCUGAUUCCGACAGGCGGCUCCA